This 73-nucleotide transfer RNA is filed under the name Camelus bactrianus (Bactrian camel). It matches the Rfam family "tRNA". Rfam says of the family: Transfer RNA (tRNA) molecules are approximately 80 nucleotides in length. Their secondary structure includes four short double-helical elements and three loops (D, anti-codon, and T loops). Lineage: Eukaryota; Metazoa; Chordata; Mammalia; Artiodactyla; Camelidae. The record is from Rfam by way of RNAcentral. RNAcentral also lists the same sequence under 2 other names.
GAGGGUGUAGCUCAGUGGUAGAGUGCAUGCUUAGCAUGCAUGAGGUUCUGGGUUCAAUUCCCCAGUACCUCCA